GUUGAGAUGGUCGAGUUGGUUUAAGGCGCCAGAUUAAGGUUCAGGUCCGAAAGGGCGUGGGUUCAAAUCCCACUCUCAACA
Ipomoea nil (Japanese morning glory) is the source of this 81-nucleotide transfer RNA. It matches the Rfam family "tRNA". From Rfam's summary of the family: Transfer RNA (tRNA) molecules are approximately 80 nucleotides in length. Their secondary structure includes four short double-helical elements and three loops (D, anti-codon, and T loops). The record is from Rfam. NCBI's taxonomy places the organism in Eukaryota, Viridiplantae, Streptophyta, Magnoliopsida, Solanales, Convolvulaceae.